GCCAAACAGCUAGCUCAAUUACCCAAUAACUAAACAAUAUAAAUAAAACAAAAUAAGCCUAACACCAAAAAUUAAAUCAUUCUUUUACCUUAGUAUGGGCGACAGAAAAGGUUACACCUGGAGCAAUAGAAAAAGUACCGCAAGGGAAAGCUGAAAGAGAAAUGAAAUAACUUAUAUAAGCACCAAAAAGCAAAGAUUAAAUCUUGUACCUUUCGCAUCAUGAUUUAGCCAGUAUAUCCAAGCAAAGAGACCUUUAGUUUGAAACCCCGAAACCAAGUGAGCUACCCCGAGACAGCCUAUUAAGGGCCAACCCGUCUCUGUGGCAAAAGAGUGGGAAGAGCUCCGGGUAGAGGUGACAGACCUACCGAACUUGGUGAUAGCUGGUUGCCUAAGAAGUGAAUAGAAGUUCAGCCUCGUACUCCCUGAAUCAAAAGAUAUAAAAAGAUAUUAGAGGGAAAUAUAUGAGAGUUAGUUAAAGGGGGUACAGCCCCUUUAACAAAGGACACAACCUUUCCAGGAGGAUAAAGAUCAUAAUGCAUAAGACAUCCUGUUCUAGUGGGCCUAAAGGCAGCCAUCUAAACAGAAAGCGUUAAAGCUCAGACAGAAAUAAGUUUAUUAUUCCGACAAGAAAUCUUACUCCCCUAAAUAUUAUUAGGCCAGCCCAUGCCCACAUGGGAGAGACUAUGCUAAAAUGAGUAACAAGAAGGCCAGCCCUUCUCCAAGCACAAGUGUAAGCCAAACCGGACCGACCAUUGGCAAUUAACGAACUCAACCCGAGAGAGUAAUGUGUAUUACAACGAAACCAGGAAGAACCCACAAUUAACCCAUCGUUACCCCCACACUGGCGUGCUAUUAAAGGAAAGACUAAAAGAAGGGAAAGGAACUCGGCAAACACAAGCCUCGCCUGUUUACCAAAAACAUCGCCUCCUGCAACACAACCAAGUAUAGGAGGUCCAGCCUGCCCAGUGACUACAAGUUCAACGGCCGCGGUAUUUUGACCGUGCAAAGGUAGCGCAAUCACUUGUCUCUUAAAUGGAGACCUGUAUGAAUGGCUAAACGAGGGCUUAACUGUCUCCCCCCUCCAGUCAGUGAAAUUGAUCUACCCGUGCAGAAGCGGG
RNAcentral lists this ribosomal RNA (1118 nucleotides) under Schizopygopsis stoliczkai (false osman). RNAcentral describes it as "partial 16S ribosomal RNA". It matches the Rfam family "Bacterial large subunit ribosomal RNA", at positions 157 to 2065 of the family's 2925-position model. Lineage: Eukaryota; Metazoa; Chordata; Actinopteri; Cypriniformes; Cyprinidae. The record is from RNAcentral.